AUUGAACGCUGGCGGAAUGCUUUACACAUGCAAGUCGAACGGUAGAGGGGGCAACCCCUCGAGAGUGGCGAACGGGUGAGUAAUAUAUCGGAACGUGCCCAGUCGUGGGGGAUAACGUAGCGAAAGUUACGCUAAUACCGCAUACGAUCUACGGAUGAAAGCGGGGGAUCGCAAGACCUCGCGCGAUUGGAGCGGCCGAUAUCAGAUUAGGUAGUUGGUGGGGUAAAGGCUCACCAAGCCAACGAUCUGUAGCUGGUCUGAGAGGACGACCAGCCACACUGGAACUGAGACACGGUCCAGACUCCUACGGGAGGCAGCAGUGGGGAAUUUUGGACAAUGGACGCAAGUCUGAUCCGGCCAUUCCGCGUGCAGGAUGAAGGCCCUCGGGUUGUAAACUGCUUUUGUACGGAACGAAAAGGUUUCUAUUAAUACGGGGGGCUCGAUGACGGUACCGUAAGAAUAAGCACCGGCUAACUACGUGCCAGCAGCCGC
This 492-nucleotide ribosomal RNA is filed under the name uncultured bacterium. RNAcentral describes it as "bacterial SSU rRNA". It matches the Rfam family "Bacterial small subunit ribosomal RNA", at positions 30 to 518 of the family's 1533-position model. The record is from RNAcentral.